RNAcentral lists this ribosomal RNA (237 nucleotides) under uncultured Bacillota bacterium. Its description in RNAcentral is "uncultured Firmicutes bacterium partial 16S ribosomal RNA". It matches the Rfam family "Bacterial small subunit ribosomal RNA", at positions 104 to 334 of the family's 1533-position model. Lineage: Bacteria; Bacillati; Bacillota. The record is from RNAcentral.
GGGUGAGUAACGCGUGGGCGAACCUGCCCUCGUACUGGGGGAGUAACACCUGGAAACAAGGUGCUAAUACCGCAUAAGCGCGCUGUGCCGCAUGGCGCGGCGCGGAAAACCCCGGUACGGUACAGGAUGGGCCCGCGUCUGAUUAGCUGGUUGGCAGGGUAACGGGCCUACCAAGGCGACGAUCAGUAGCCGGCCUGAGAGGGUGGACGGCCACACUGGGACUGAGACACAGCCCAG